Myotis myotis is the source of this 415-nucleotide long non-coding RNA. RefSeq lists it as uncharacterized. NCBI's taxonomy places the organism in Eukaryota, Metazoa, Chordata, Mammalia, Chiroptera, Vespertilionidae. The transcript has 3 exons. The record is from RefSeq and is a predicted model, not a curated record.
UGGAAUCCGGAUGUGGCUGUAUUAGUUGCCUGGAUACUGGAGGGAGGGGAUAUCUCUUCAGGACAAAAUGGUUGCCCAGGUCCCAGGCUCAGGCAUGACUCAGCACCAAACUCGCUGCCACUUCUCCUGGAUUCCCCUCUCUCCCCAGAUUUCACAAUUCUGCACCUUCUCCCACACUCCAGCCACGGCCAGCAGUGCUGCCAGUUCAGUCCCACAUCCCACUAGACAGCCUCUGGCCAGGAAAGGAGGCUAGCACAGAAAAUUCCUUCCCAAAACCAACACAUCUGGCAGUUUGAAAUAUCUGCUAGGAUACUAUUUAAGUUGUAUACAUCUGGGAGAAACCAAGAUGGUGGCAUAGGUAAACACCGGAGUUUGCUGCCUCGAACAACCACUUCAAAAAUACAACUAAAAGACA